UACAGAGGGGGCAAGCGUUGUUCGGAAUUACUGGGCGUAAAGGGCGCGUAGGCGGCCUGCUAAGUCGAACGUGAAAUCCCUGGGCUCAACCCAGGAACUGCGUCCGAUACUGGUUGGCUUGAAUCCGGGAGAGGGAUGUGGAAUUCCAGGUGUAGCGGUGAAAUGCGUAGAUAUCUGGAGGAACACCGGUGGCGAAGGCGGCAUUCUGGACCGACAUUGACGCUGAGGAGCGAAAGCCAGGGGAGCAAACGGG
RNAcentral lists this ribosomal RNA (253 nucleotides) under uncultured bacterium. RNAcentral's name for it is "partial 16S ribosomal RNA". It matches the Rfam family "Bacterial small subunit ribosomal RNA", at positions 524 to 776 of the family's 1533-position model. The record is from RNAcentral.